AGCCACGCAGUGAGCACAAAGCGAACUAUUCUUUCGCCUUUUACUAAAGAAUACCGUGUGCACACUGCAAUCAGUGGCAUACGCCUAUUUUUGGAGGGAUUCUCUUCUUUAGAGGAC
Molecule: small nuclear RNA, 117 nt
Filed under: Solanum tuberosum (potato)
Lineage: Eukaryota; Viridiplantae; Streptophyta; Magnoliopsida; Solanales; Solanaceae
Description: snRNA U5
Rfam family: U5 spliceosomal RNA
About the family: U5 RNA is a component of both types of known spliceosome. The precise function of this molecule is unknown, though it is known that the 5' loop is required for splice site selection and p220 binding, and that both the 3' stem-loop and the Sm site are important for Sm protein binding and cap methylation.
Source: RNAcentral